RNAcentral lists this ribosomal RNA (255 nucleotides) under uncultured bacterium. Its description in RNAcentral is "partial 16S ribosomal RNA". It matches the Rfam family "Bacterial small subunit ribosomal RNA", at positions 524 to 776 of the family's 1533-position model. The record is from RNAcentral.
UACAGAGGGGGCAAGCGUUAUUCGGAAUUAUUGGGCGUAAAGGGCGCGUAGGCGGCUUGGCAAGUGGAUGGUGAAAUCCCUCGGCUUAACCGAGGAACUGCCGGUCCAAACUGCUUCGCUUGAGACCGGGAGAGGUGAGUGGAAUUCCCAGUGUAGCGGUGAAAUGCGUAGAUAUUGGGAGGAACACCAGUGGCGAAGGCGGCUCACUGGACCGGGUACUGACGCUGAUGCGCGAAAGCGUGGGGAGCAAACGGG